This 1674-nucleotide long non-coding RNA is filed under the name Fragaria vesca (wild strawberry). RNAcentral's name for it is "long non-coding RNA (FVES_LNC003170)". Lineage: Eukaryota; Viridiplantae; Streptophyta; Magnoliopsida; Rosales; Rosaceae. The record is from RNAcentral.
CCCUUCCUUCACCAUCCUCGCCUCCGCCGUGCUGCUGCACCAUCUCUCCUCCGCCUGCGACGCCGGAAACACUAUCCAAAUCCAAAACGUCGGCGUUUGAUUCCUUCCUGGAGACCGAGCCCUCGUCGUCGCUCUGGCGCUCUUCACCCUUCGCUUGGCACUCGGUACUCUGUUCUCGUCAAUCAGUGCUCGGUGGUCGGCUGUUGGCCUUUGGCGCUCGCCGCUCGGCCUAACUGAAGCAGAUCUGGUCCUGAGCCUCCUCCUAAGCGCCGGCGACGAAUGUAGCAAUGAUUUUUUCAAGUCACAAGGUGAAAAGGUGAGUGGACUUGAGGAAGGUGUGAGGAUUCUAAGUUGCAGCGUCGCUAGCCUUCGGCAAAUUGGGGUCCCGAACAACGUCGUUGAGGACGGUGAGCUUUGCUGGGCGACGGAGGAAGGCUGGUUGUUGCUUAGUCUCUAAGAGGUAUGACGGUCAGAGGAAGACUGGUUCUGAGUUGUAUCGUAAGGUUGGACGCCGGAGUCGACGCCAACGCCGAUCGGGAAGUGUUUAGGCGCUAGCUUUGGGUGCCCAGAGCAAUUUUUUGGUUUGGGCUUGGGUCCUUGACAACGGGCUGGAGGUUUGGAUGCCCUUAUGGCCUCACAGUAAUGUUUCAACAUUUUAUUAGGGUUAGUAACUAUUAUUGGGGUCAAUAACUGGAUUAUGUUCCGGUAUUUCUUCUUAUUCUAUUACUAUAAGCUGAAAUAAGUUGAUUAUUGGGGGUAAGUAACUGAUUAUUAGAGGUUAGUAACACGAUUAUUAGGGGUCAGUAACUGAUUACUGGGGGUCAGUAACUGAUUACUGGGGGUCAGUAACUGGUUACUGGGUGUUAGUAACUAAUCAGUAACUGGUUACUGGGGGUCAAUAAUUGGUUACUGGGGGUCAGUAACUGGUUACUGGGUGUCAGUAACUGAUCAAUAACUGGUUACUAGGUGUCAGUAACUGGUUACAGGAGAAAUUUUGGUGACCGGAGUCCCGCGGCCGGUGACCGGAGUCCGACGGCAGGUGACCGGAGUCCGACGGCCGGUUACUAGAGUCCGGUGAGAUUCUGGCCAAGUAUUCUCUCUUUCAUUUUCUCUCUAUGCAUGUUUAAGGGGUGAGGGUAAAAUAGUCUUAAAAUAAUAUGAUUUGUUAAGACUUUAGUAAAGAUUUGUGCAUUUGGGCAUAAAUAUUUGUGUAUUUGGGCAUAAAAAAACUUACUUUAUAUUGAAAUGGGCUAAUGAAAAAGAUUAUCAUUGGAAUGAGAAAUAAAGGAUUUAAAUUAAUACUAAAUGAGUAUUUUCCCUUCUAUAAUAUUUGUUUAUUCAGUAAAGAAUGUUGAAAGUAACGAGAUAUCAUGCCUAAUUGGGUUUUCAACUAUUAGAUCCCUCUUGCUAUUGAUCUUCUCAUCACAUUUGGACAUUUGAAUCGGUUCCGAUUCAUAGAAGACUUUCCCUGAACAUAGAUCAGAACUUGUUGUCCAUGCUGUCACAUGUUAGUUAAAUUUAUGUAGCAUAUACACCUUGAUUGGUUUUCCACACUAAGUAGAUUUUAAGCCUAUAAUCACGGUUCAUCUCACAGAGAUCAUUAUCCAAGUUUUGAAGAUUGUAUUUUUUUUUUUUUUUUUUUUUGAAAGUUUGAAGAUUGAUUAUUUGCUUCAG